UGAAAGUGGAUCCCUGGUGCAUCUUGUCUUGCUGGUCUUCCGUUCUCGAGGAAGAUGGGAGAGAGAGAAAGUAGCAUUGAUGGGAGUGCACCAUAGGGUGGUAUUGUGCAAGUGCAAUCAAACAAGUGUUGAAAAGUUAACUCAAACAUCAGGAUGAGGCACGUGAUAUAACCGCGUGCCUGUUUUCUAGAGCGAAAGCGCGACUUAUAUCAAAACACAAACAAACAAAA
RNAcentral lists this long non-coding RNA (230 nucleotides) under Hordeum vulgare. RNAcentral's name for it is "long non-coding RNA (HVUL_LNC012793)". Lineage: Eukaryota; Viridiplantae; Streptophyta; Magnoliopsida; Poales; Poaceae. The record is from RNAcentral.